RNAcentral lists this ribosomal RNA (255 nucleotides) under uncultured soil bacterium. RNAcentral's name for it is "partial 16S ribosomal RNA". It matches the Rfam family "Bacterial small subunit ribosomal RNA", at positions 26 to 285 of the family's 1533-position model. The record is from RNAcentral.
AGGACGAACGCUGGCGGCGUGCUUAACACAUGCAAGUCGAGCGGUAAGGCCUUUCGGGUACGACGAGCGGCGAACGGGUGAGUAACACGUGGGUGAUCUGCCCUGCACUUCGGGAUAAGCCUGGGAAACUGGGUCUAAUACCGGAUAUGACCUCAGGUUGCAUGACUUGGGGUGGAAAGAUUUAUCGGUGCAGGAUGGGCCCGCGGCCUAUCAGCUUGGUUGGUGGGUAAUGGCCUACCAAGGCGACGACGGGUA